RNAcentral lists this ribosomal RNA (446 nucleotides) under uncultured Flavobacterium sp. Its description in RNAcentral is "bacterial SSU rRNA". It matches the Rfam family "Bacterial small subunit ribosomal RNA", at positions 28 to 478 of the family's 1533-position model. Lineage: Bacteria; Pseudomonadati; Bacteroidota; Flavobacteriia; Flavobacteriales; Flavobacteriaceae. The record is from RNAcentral.
GAUGAACGCUAGCGGCAGGCUUAACACAUGCAAGUCGAGGGGUAUAGUAGCAAUACUAGAGACCGGCGCACGGGUGCGUAACGCGUAUGCAAUCUACCUUUCACAGAGGGAUAGCUCAGAGAAAUUUGGAUUAAUACCUCAUAGUAUUAUAGGAUGGCAUCAUUUUAUAAUUAAAGUCACAACGGUGAAAGAUGAGCAUGCGUCCCAUUAGUUAGUUGGUAAGGUAACGGCUUACCAAGACUACGAUGGGUAGGGGUCCUGAGAGGGAGAUCCCCCACACUGGUACUGAGACACGGACCAGACUCCUACGGGAGGCAGCAGUGAGGAAUAUUGGACAAUGGGCGCAAGCCUGAUCCAGCCAUGCCGCGUGCAGGAUGACGGUCCUAUGGAUUGUAAACUGCUUUUGCACAGGAAGAAACACCCCGACGUGUCGGGGCUGACGGUAC